UGGGGAAUAUUGCACAAUGGGCGAAAGCCUGAUGCAGCGACGCCGCGUGAGCGAAGAAGUAUUUCGGUAUGUAAAGCUCUAUCAGCAGGGAAGAAAAUGACGGUACCUGACUAAGAAGCUCCGGCUAAAUACGUGCCAGCAGCCGCGGUAAUACGUAUGGAGCAAGCGUUAUCCGGAUUUACUGGGUGUAAAGGGAGCGUAGGCGGCAGGGCAAGUCUGAUGUGAAAACCCAGGGCUCACCUUGGGACUGCAUUGGAAACUGUUCGGCUGGAGUGUCGGAGAGGCAAGCGGAAUUCCUAGUGUAGCGGUGAAAUGCGUAGAUAUUAGGAGGAACACCAGUGGCGAAGGCGGCUUGCUGGACGAUGACUGACGCUGAGGCUCGAAAGCGUGGGGAGCAAACAGGAUUAGAUACCC
RNAcentral lists this ribosomal RNA (414 nucleotides) under uncultured bacterium. RNAcentral describes it as "bacterial SSU rRNA". It matches the Rfam family "Bacterial small subunit ribosomal RNA", at positions 355 to 787 of the family's 1533-position model. The record is from RNAcentral.